AUAGCGUAUAUUAAAGUUGUUGCAGUUAAAAAGCUCGUAGUUGGAUUUCAAGAGUCGCAGUGUGUCCUCACACUGCUCUCUAUCAGUCAUUGACUGUUACUGUGAGAAAAUUAGAGUGUUUCAAGCAGGCUAUUGCAGGAAUACAUUAGCAUGGAAUAACGAAUGUCUAGAAUCUUGGUUAAUUCUAGAUGAAGAUUAAUAGGGACAGUUGGGGGCAUUAGUAUUUAAUUGUCAGAGGUGAAAUUCUUGGAUUAUUUAAAGACUAACGUAUG
This 272-nucleotide ribosomal RNA is filed under the name uncultured eukaryote. RNAcentral's name for it is "partial 18S ribosomal RNA". It matches the Rfam family "Eukaryotic small subunit ribosomal RNA", at positions 594 to 945 of the family's 1831-position model. The record is from RNAcentral.